RNAcentral lists this ribosomal RNA (497 nucleotides) under uncultured bacterium. RNAcentral's name for it is "partial 16S ribosomal RNA". It matches the Rfam family "Bacterial small subunit ribosomal RNA", at positions 28 to 507 of the family's 1533-position model. The record is from RNAcentral.
GAUGAACGCUGGCGGCGUGCCUAAUACAUGCAAGUCGAGCGAACAGAUGAGGAGCUUGCUCCUCUGACGUUAGCGGCGGACGGGUGAGUAACACGUGGAUAACCUACCUAUAAGACUGGGAUAACUUCGGGAAACCGGAGCUAAUACCGGAUAAUAUAUUGAACCGCAUGGUUCAAUAGUGGAAGACGGUUUUGCUGUCACUUAUAGAUGGAUCCGCGCCGCAUUAGCUAGUUGGUAAGGUAACGGCUUACCAAGGCAACGAUGCGUAGCCGACCUGAGAGGGUGAUCGGCCACACUGGAACUGAGACACGGUCCAGACUCCUACGGGAGGCAGCAGUAGGGAAUCUUCCGCAAUGGGCGAAAGCCUGACGGAGCAACGCCGCGUGAGUGGUGAAGGUCUUCGGAUCGUAAAACUCUGUUAUUAGGGAAGAACAAAUGUGUAAGUAACUAUGCACGUCUUGACGGUACCUAAUCAGAAAGCCACGGCUAACUACGUG